UUGGUAAGUCCGCAACGAGACGCAACCCCUACUUGUUAGUUGUCCAUCAUUCAGUUGGGCACUCUAGCGAGACUGCCGGUAAUAAACCGGAGGAAGGUGGGGAUGACGUCAAAUCAUCAUGCCCCUUAUGACCUGGGCUACACACGUGCUACAAUGGUUGGUACAACGAGUUGCGAGUCGGUGACGGCGAGCUAAUCUCUUAAAGCCAAUCUCAGUUCGGAUUGUAGGCUGCAACUCGCCUACAUGAAGUCGGAAUCGCUAGUAAUCGCGGAUCAGCACGCCGCGGUGAAUACGUUCCCGGGCCUU
This 306-nucleotide ribosomal RNA is filed under the name uncultured Streptococcus sp. RNAcentral's name for it is "bacterial SSU rRNA". It matches the Rfam family "Bacterial small subunit ribosomal RNA", at positions 1074 to 1382 of the family's 1533-position model. Lineage: Bacteria; Bacillati; Bacillota; Bacilli; Lactobacillales; Streptococcaceae. The record is from RNAcentral.